This 465-nucleotide ribosomal RNA is filed under the name uncultured bacterium. RNAcentral's name for it is "partial 16S ribosomal RNA". It matches the Rfam family "Bacterial small subunit ribosomal RNA", at positions 28 to 507 of the family's 1533-position model. The record is from RNAcentral.
GACGAACGCUGGCGGCGUGCUUAACACAUGCGAGUCGAACGGAAAGGCCCUGCUUGCAGGGUACUCGAGUGGCGAACGGGUGAGUAACACGUGGGUGAUCUGCCCUGCACUUCGGGAUAAGCCUGGGAAACUGGGUCUAAUACCGGAUAGGAGCCAUUUUUAGUGUGAUGGUUGGAAAGUUUUUUCGGUGUAGGAUGAGCUCGCGGCCUAUCAGCUUGUUGGUGGGGUAAUGGCCUACCAAGGCGGCGACGGGUAGCCGGCCUGAGAGGGUGGACGGCCACAUUGGGACUGAGAUACGGCCCAGACUCCUACGGGAGGCAGCAGUGGGGAAUAUUGCACAAUGGGCGCAAGCCUGAUGCGGCGACGCCGCGUGGGGGAUGACGGCCUUCGGGUUGUAAACUCCUUUCGCUAGGGACGAAGCUUUUUGUGACGGUACCUAGAUAAGAAGCACCGGCUAACUACGUG